CACUUCAAUCAGUGAAGGGGAGGAGACCGGUUAAUGUCCACCACCCAAAGGACAUCCAGCUAACUUGACACAACUGUGGGAAGCAUCGGUGUCCAUUUAGAGUUAAUGCCCCAACGAAUUUAGCCUGUUCUGAGGGCAAAAGGGGGGGGUGCAACUCAAUAUUAGGAAAGCAUUCUUAGUGUUUUGUAAGCUCAGUGUAUAGGGAAGAAUCUCACGCAAUCUAUUCUGGGAGAAGGGAUUCCAGUCCACAGACUAACUCCUUUCAAAAUUCUGUUUUGCCCAAUAGGAAGUGAAUGGUGAAUAAUGUAGUGUGGCCUUUCGGAGUCACAUUUAUUGCCUACCCCGGUGAUGCUGGGCCAAUUGUGCGCAGCCCUAUGGGACUCCCGAUCAUGGCCGGAUGUGAUACAACCUUGAAUCGAACCGGGGACUGUAGUGAUGCCUCGUGCACUGAGAUGUAGUGCCUUAGAUUGCUGUGCCACCCGGGAGCCCUAGACAUUUAAGUGCCUUCAGAAAUGAUUCACACCUGUUGACUUUUUCCACAUUUUGUUUUGUUACAGCCUGGCCAACACACAAUAGCCCAUAAUGUUACAGUGAAAUUAUUUUUUUCUAAUGUUCUACAAAUUAAUUAAAAAUGAAAAGCUGAAAUGUCUUGAGUCAAUAAGUAUUCAACCACUUUGUUAUGGCAAGCCUAAAUAAGUUCAGGAGUAAAACUUUGCCUAACAAGAGUCACAUAUGUUGAAUGGACUCACUCUGUGUGCAAUAAUAGUGAAUACAAAGGUUUAUGUUUGGGGCAAAUCCAAUAGAACACAUUACUGAGUACCACUCUUCAUAUUUUCAACCAUACUGGUGGCUGCAUCAUGUUAUGGGUAUGCUUACUCCGGGUUAACUUGAUGGUAAAGCUAAAGCUCCUACAUAUUUCUGUACUGAAAAAAAU
This is a long non-coding RNA of Oncorhynchus tshawytscha (Chinook salmon), 934 nucleotides long. NCBI's taxonomy places the organism in Eukaryota, Metazoa, Chordata, Actinopteri, Salmoniformes, Salmonidae. The record is from Ensembl.